This 823-nucleotide ribosomal RNA is filed under the name uncultured archaeon. Its description in RNAcentral is "bacterial SSU rRNA". It matches the Rfam family "Archaeal small subunit ribosomal RNA", at positions 95 to 919 of the family's 1478-position model. The record is from RNAcentral.
AACACGUAGUCAAUCUACCCUAUGGACGGGGAUAACCUCGGGAAACUGAGGAUAAAACCCGAUAGAUCAUAGUGCCUGGAACGGCUUAUGGUCCAAAUGAUUCGUCGCCGUAGGAUGGGACUGCGGCCUAUCAGCUUGUUGGUGAGGUAAUGGCCCACCAAGGCUAUUACAGGUACGGGCUCUGAGAGGAGAAGCCCGGAGAUGGGUACUGAGACACGGACCCAGGCCCUAUGGGGCGCAGCAGGCGAGAAACCUUUGCAAUGUGCGCAAGCACGACAAGGUUAAUCCGAGUGUUUCCUGCUAAAGGAAUCUUUUGUUAGUUUUAAAACCACUAUUGAAUAAGGGGUGGGCAAGUUCUGGUGUCAGCCGCCGCGGUAAAACCAGCACCUCAAGUGGUCAGGAGGAUUAUUGGGCCUAAAGCAUCCGUAGCCUGUUCUGUAAGUUUCCGGUUAAAUCCAUUAGCUCAACUAAUGGGCUGCCGAAAAUACUGCAGAACUAGGGAGUGGGAGAGGUAGACGGUACUCGGUAGGAAGGGGUAAAAUCCUUUGAUCUAUUGAUGACCACCUGUGGCGAAGGCGGUUUACCAGAACACGUUCGACGGUGAGGGAUGAAAGCUGGGGGAGCAAACCGGAUUAGAUACCCGGGUAGUCCCAGCUGUAAACGAUGAAGACUCGGUGAUGCGCUGGCUUGUGGCCAGUGCAGUGCCGCAGGGAAGCCGUUAAGUUUGCCGCCUGGGAAGUACGUACGCAAGUAUGAAACUUAAAGGAAUUGGCGGGGGAGCACCACAAGGGGUGAAGCCUGCGGUUCAAUUGGAUUCAACGCC